Small nuclear RNA from Bombyx mandarina (wild silkworm), 167 nucleotides. NCBI's taxonomy places the organism in Eukaryota, Metazoa, Arthropoda, Insecta, Lepidoptera, Bombycidae. The record is from RefSeq and is a predicted model, not a curated record.
AUCCUUACAUGGUAUAGGGAUACCGUGAUCAUGCAGGCGUUUUCCCCAGGGUGAGGCUGGUCCAUUGCACUGCGGAGUGGUUGAUCCGUGUGAUUUCUACCGUAUGUGACUUGCACACACACACACAUUUUUUUAUUGCUUAGAUGGGUUGGAUGAGCCCACCUGGU